AACGAACGCUGGCGGCAUGCCUAACACAUGCAAGUCGAACGAGACCUUCGUGUCUAGUGGCGCACGGGUGCGUAACGCGUGGGAACCUGCCCUUAGGUUCGGAAUAACUCCCCUAAAGGGGUGCUAAUACCGGAUAAUUUCUUCGGACCAAAGAUUUAUCGCCUUUGGAUGGGCCCGCGUUGGAUUAGCUAGUUGGUAGGGUAAAAGCCUACCAAGGCGACGAUCCAUAGCUGGUCUGAGAGGAUGAUCAGCCACACUGGGACUGAGACACGGCCCAGAAUCCUACGGGAGGCAGCAGUGGGGAAUAUUGGAACAUGGGCGAAAGCCUGAUACAGCAAUGCCGGGUGAGUGAUGAAGGCCUUAGGGUUGUAAAGCUCUUUUACCCGGGAUGAUAAUGACAGUACCGGGAGAAUAAGCACCGGCUAACUCCGUG
This 433-nucleotide ribosomal RNA is filed under the name uncultured bacterium. RNAcentral's name for it is "partial 16S ribosomal RNA". It matches the Rfam family "Bacterial small subunit ribosomal RNA", at positions 29 to 507 of the family's 1533-position model. The record is from RNAcentral.